RNAcentral lists this ribosomal RNA (660 nucleotides) under uncultured bacterium. RNAcentral describes it as "bacterial SSU rRNA". It matches the Rfam family "Bacterial small subunit ribosomal RNA", at positions 94 to 788 of the family's 1533-position model. The record is from RNAcentral.
AGUGGCGGACGGGUGAGUAACGCGUGAGAAUCUGCCUUGGGGUCGGGGACAACCACUGGAAACGGUGGCUAAUACCGGAUAAGCCGAUUGGUGAAAGAUUUAUUGCCCGAAGAGGAGCUCGCGUCUGAUUAGCUAGUUGGUGAGGUAAGAGCUCACCAAGGCAGCGAUCAGUAGCUGGUCUGAGAGGACGAUCAGCCACACUGGGACUGAGACACGGCCCAGACUCCUACGGGAGGCAGCAGUGGGGAAUUUUCCGCAAUGGGCGAAAGCCUGACGGAGCAAGACCGCGUGAGGGAGGAAGGCUCUUGGGUUGUAAACCUCUUUUCUCAGGGAAGAAGCUCUGACGGUACCUGAGGAAUCAGCCUCGGCUAACUCCGUGCCAGCAGCCGCGGUAAUACGGAGGAGGCAAGCGUUAUCCGGAAUUAUUGGGCGUAAAGCGUCCGCAGGUGGCGAUUCAAGUCUGCUGUCAAAGCACGGGGCUUAACUCCGUAAAGGCAGUGGAAACUGAAUAGCUAGAGUGCCGUAGGGGUAGAGGGAAUUCCCGGUGUAGCGGUGAAAUGCGUAGAGAUCGGGAAGAACAUCGGUGGCGAAAGCGCUCUACUGGACGGCAACUGACACUCAGGGACGAAAGCUAGGGGAGCGAAUGGGGUUAGAUACCCC